AGAGACAGCAGCCGCCGCGGUAAUACGAAGGGGGCUAGCGUUGCUCGGAAUGACUGGGCGUAAAGGGCGCGUAGGCGGAUUGUUUAGUUAGGCGUGAAAUUCCUGGGCUUAACCUGGGGACUGCGCUUAAUACAGGCAGUCUAGAGUGAGGAAGAGGGUUGUGGAAUUCCCAGUGUAGAGGUGAAAUUCGUAGAUAUUGGGAAGAACACCGGUGGCGAAGGCGGCAACCUGGUCCUUGACUGACACUAAGAGACGAAAGCUAGGGGAGCAAAUGGGAUUAGAUACCCCAGUAGUCCCUGUCUCUUAUAC
Molecule: ribosomal RNA, 309 nt
Filed under: uncultured bacterium
Lineage: Bacteria
Description: partial 16S ribosomal RNA
Rfam family: Bacterial small subunit ribosomal RNA
Source: RNAcentral